UACGGAGGGUGCAAGCGUUAUCCGGAUUUACUGGGUUUAAAGGGUGUGUAGGCGGGUCUUUAAGUCAGUGGUGGAAUCUCCGAGCUCAACUUGGAAACUGCCAUUGAUACUAUUGAUCUUGAAUUCUGUUGAGGUUGGCGGAAUAAGUCAUGUAGCGGUGAAAUGCAUAGAUAUGACUUAGAACACCGAUUGCGAAGGCAGCUAACUAAGCAGAUAUUGACGCUGAGGCACGAAAGCGUGGGGAUCAAACAGG
This 253-nucleotide ribosomal RNA is filed under the name uncultured bacterium. RNAcentral describes it as "partial 16S ribosomal RNA". It matches the Rfam family "Bacterial small subunit ribosomal RNA", at positions 524 to 776 of the family's 1533-position model. The record is from RNAcentral.